This 513-nucleotide ribosomal RNA is filed under the name Triticum aestivum (bread wheat). Its description in RNAcentral is "partial small subunit ribosomal RNA". The record is from RNAcentral. Lineage: Eukaryota; Viridiplantae; Streptophyta; Magnoliopsida; Poales; Poaceae.
AUGUGCACGCGACCCACCCAUUGUUCACCCCAACGCACUCGCAACUUUUUUCCCCAGAUAAUCCUAUCCCAAACACUGGGGCCUAUUGUUUACGAGGUGUUCACUCUUCAGAAGGACCAAGUUUCCACUCUUAAGCACAUUUGUGCUGGCGGAAGCAUGAGCACCUUCAGUGCCGUCAGUGCCCAUGUGUGGCAAUGCAUGUGUUUAGCCCGGCGGCUACCGCCGAACUCCACAACACGCUUGGCUUUUGUGGCCAACGUCCGGCGAAGCAUGGUGCCGCCACUCCUGGAUGGCUACUUUGGCAACGCGUUAAUAAAUCUAAGUGUUGCCGAGCUGGUCUACAUCGCACGCCAAAUCAGAUACACCAUCAGUCGGGUGAAUGAUGAGCUAGUGCAUUGGGCAGUCGACUACAUCGAGUUAGCAUUAACGAAGAGAGACAACCGCACUGCUUUAGGUAGUCUGCCGGCGACAGAUAUGCGAAUGAUAAGUUGGCUUGGCAUGCCGUUCUAUUGA